CAAAACCUUCGCUUGGAUUGAAAACUUGUUGAUUUAUGAAUUUUGGUUUCAGGCAGUCUUCCAUCAAAGGUUGAUGUUUCUUUUGUGGCACAUUGGCUGAUUCUCCCUCAUAAGUGUAUUUUAUUUUACAGAUUCAACAUCUUCACAAUCUUUAUCAACAACUUCAGCUUGUGUCACUGAUCCUUUUGAAUCUUCUUCGAAUCUCAGCUUUAACACGUCCCAUGCAUCCUUUGAGGUCUUAGUAUCAGACAAAUAAUCACUAAGAAUUUCUUCUGAGACAGCACUACACAACAACUAUUCUUCAAACGUCCAGGCCACCAAGACCUUGGAGCUCUGAUACCAUGUAGGAUUUUGAUUAAUCAAAGAUGAGAUUCCAACAAGUACCACAUCUAACCCACCCAAAGGAAUUGCAAAACAAUCUGUCGUGAAACUAUGAACUUGUACCACCAUUUGAAGCCCUUUACAAACCCCAUCCACAUGACAUUUUCCUCCAUCAGGCAUAGAUACAGAGCGGCCUGGUCUCCUAUGUAUUGGUAUACCUAGAUUUUCAGCCGCACUGCUUUUGAUAAAGUUAUGGGUGCUUUAUGUGCCUAAUAACACCCAACCGGUUCCCUUUGCCAAAACAGCAUUCACAUGGAAUGUGCUCCCUGUUUUCUCCCCCUUCAUUGCGUGGAGUGAGACUUCCAUAUUCUCAUCCUCACCCGAUGUGUCUUUCAGAUCCUCAUCAUCUUCAAUCGUCUUGAUGUGAUCUUGAUGUGAAAUAAAAUUGGUUGACACUUUUGUCCUAGGAUGAAAAUCUUGUCACAAUUAAAAAGAGUCCCUUCCCUCCU
Non-coding RNA from Camelina sativa (false flax), 830 nucleotides. Lineage: Eukaryota; Viridiplantae; Streptophyta; Magnoliopsida; Brassicales; Brassicaceae. The record is from RefSeq and is a predicted model, not a curated record.